RNAcentral lists this long non-coding RNA (747 nucleotides) under Anser brachyrhynchus (Pink-footed goose). RNAcentral describes it as "lncRNA (ENSABRG00000009115.1)". Lineage: Eukaryota; Metazoa; Chordata; Aves; Anseriformes; Anatidae. The record is from RNAcentral.
UUUUAGUUCUUUAUCUUCUAAUGAAAUCUGUGGGUCUGAGGUUUUUUUUUUCUGUUUGGGCACAUUCACAGGUGGAAGAUCUUCCUGGAACUUACUAGAUUCCCAGCUGAAUCCCCUGAAGCAUCGGUCUUGUAAUGUGACAUGAUGAGAGAUCUCAGAAAAGACUGCCUGACUUGUUUAUGUAAACCUGAUGACAGAACUUAGAUAAACAGGAAGUUGAGUUGCUGCAGAACCACAUGUAUUCCCAGGGACCCUGGAUUGUGAUUAUCCUCAUACUUCACUCAACACAAGUCAGUUGAAGGACAGGACAUGAUGGGAUUAUACUCACUGAAGGAAACACAGGGAAUGGUGAAGGAGAAAAUUUGGAGAAAGUUGAGAAAAGGACUUCCUAACUGAAGAAAACUCAGUGGGACUCCAUGAGUGAAAUAUAAUAUUCCCUUCUGUAAAUAUAACCUGAAGAUACACAAACUGGAUAAGGAGUACUAAGUUCCUGGUGACAUCAUCAUUAAAGCAUCUCUAGAGAGCGAGAAACCUUUUGGAUUUGACCUUGAUGUAAAAUAUAUGAAGUAAAUUUAUUUUCCGUUUGUUAUCUGUAUCAUUAUGUAGGUUUUUAAGUGUGCUGUUCUGAAUAUGCUCUAUUUGCCUUUAUGUUAUGACAUGAGAUUCAAGUGACUUCAAAUUAAUUGGUUAAUGCUAGUGCAUUAAUGUACAAUAUUCUUAUGGGGCACCAUGGUUUUGAAAUGCAGA